This 253-nucleotide ribosomal RNA is filed under the name uncultured prokaryote. RNAcentral describes it as "partial 16S ribosomal RNA". It matches the Rfam family "Bacterial small subunit ribosomal RNA", at positions 524 to 776 of the family's 1533-position model. The record is from RNAcentral.
UACGUAGGUGGCAAGCGUUGUCCGGAUUUAUUGGGUUUAAAGGGUGCGUAGGCGGCCCUGUAAGUCAGUGGUGAAAUACUCUAGCUUAACUAGAGGGGUGCCAUUGAUACUGCGGGGCUUGAGUACAGACGAGGUUGGCGGAAUUGAUUGUGUAGCGGUGAAAUGCAUAGAUACAAUCAAGAACUCCGAUUGCGUAGGCAGCUAACUAGGCUGUAACUGACGCUGAGGCACGAAAGCGUGGGGAGCGAACAGG